This is a long non-coding RNA of Pan troglodytes (chimpanzee), 2722 nucleotides long. RefSeq lists it as uncharacterized. The transcript has 2 exons. The record is from RefSeq and is a predicted model, not a curated record. NCBI's taxonomy places the organism in Eukaryota, Metazoa, Chordata, Mammalia, Primates, Hominidae.
UAGGUCUUGGCAGCAUGGAGAAAAGGUGGAGGCCCUUCUUCUUUCCAUCCCCAACUUGUUCCCCUCCAGCCCCCAAGGAAAGGCCCCUUUUCAUUUCCUCUCAGGGCGCCUGAUACUCUUUGCCAGACUGUUGCCUAGCAACAGUGCCCUCUACGGCCAGCUCCACCCACUUCAGACGCCAAGGCUAGGGGUACACAGCCAGCUCUGAGGGCCCGGCCUUUGGCAGGCAGGGAGUGGGGGGCCCUGGGCUCCCAAGUUGGGAGAAGGAGGUCAGAGAGCAGAGAGGAGCCUGGGUGGGUUCUGAGACUGGAGGCAGUGACCUGCGAGGAAAGGGAGUGUGCCCUGGGCACCAAGCCAUGGCAUCUAGUUCAGGGCCCCUCUGCUUCCUCAGAACACCCCGUGGGGUCGCAUGAUCAUCCACGUGACAGAUUCUGAAGACAACUCUGCCUUGUGUAGGGGAGGGAGGCCAUGUCAGGCUGCGCGUAGCAAGAACCACGGGGCCUUGAGUCUGAAGUCUGAGUUUGAGUAGAGCUGGGAUGAGUCACUUCCCUUCCCGAAUCCACUUCCCACACCUGUAGAAUGGAGACAUGGUACCCACUUCCCGGGGAAGUGUGUGAGGAUAGAGCAGGAACACGGGAAGGCUUGGUACUGGGAGGGUACGGAUUAUUUUUAUAAGCAAGGAGUGUGACAUCUAUUUUUAGAGGAGAAAGAAUUUCGUUACAAAGAACUCUCCUAGUCCCCUCCCAGAGUGGAUGGGCUGAGGUGCGGGGGAGCAGUAGGCCUGGAGGACUCCCUGAAGAGGUGGCCUGGGGAUUCCUGGCAGAGGGAACGGCCUGUGCAAAGGCCUGGAGACACGCGACUGAGGCGCGCCUAACAAUGGCUACCAUGGAUUCACGGGCAGGCGCCUGUACACUCAAUCCUCACGGCAGCUCCAGGACACUGGAGUCAGUGCUCCUGUCUCACAGGAAAGGAAACGUUGGCUCAGAAAGAUAAGGAAACCGAAGCACAGAGAGGCAGGUCAUCUGGCUGAGGUCACACAGCCACGCGGCGAGAGAGCAGUGAAGCCGGAGUUCCAGCAAGCUCCACCUGGCGAGAAUUCAAGCCCUGCCAUGGGCCACCUCUCUGGAGGAAGAGAAAGCCAGCUUCAGACUCUGCCUCUCUCAAUCCUUAUACAAGGCCAGAGAGCGCUUGAGGCUUCCAGGCACUCCUAUGCUUACACACCUUCCAUGGCUCCCAGCUGCCCUCCAGAUAAAGAACAAACUCCUCAGUGUGGCCCUUGAGGUCCUGUGAUCUGGCCUCUGUCCACCACCAGGGCCCCCCUCCUGCCAGAUCUCUGAGCCUCGGCCACGCUGACCUGCUUCUCUCAGGGCCUCAACAGGGCCGAUCUCCAUCCCUGCUGUUCCCUUGGUCCAGCAUGCUGUUCCCCUCUAGUUGCUUCUCCUUACCCUGGGGGCCUCCACUCAAAUGCCACCUCCUCCACUGGCCGGACGCUGCCAUUAACCUGCUCGAGUGCUCUCCCUGCAAAACUCAGCACAGGCCGGGCACAGUGGCUCAUGCCUGUAAUCCCAGCACUUUGGGAGGCCAAGGUAGGACGACUGUUCGAGCCCAGGAGUUCAAAACCAGCCUGGGCAACAAAGUGAGAUCCUGUCUCUAUUUUUUAAAAAAUUAGCCGGGCGUAGUGGAGCACACCUGUAGUCCCAGCUACUCGGGAGCUUAAGGCGAGGGGGUAGCUUGAGCCCAGGAGUUCGAGGCUGCAGUGAGCUGUGAUCACACCACUGCACUCCCGCCUGGGUAACAGAGCAAGACCCUGUCUCAAAAAAAAAAAAAAAAAAAGACCCAUAGCACAAUUGUAAUCAUGUGGGUCAUUGUGGGGUGGUGAGUCACAGCUGGUGAGUGGCAGAAUCAAGACCAGGUCCAGGUGGUACAGCCACAGAGCUGGUGCCCCCAAGUACUCGGCUGCUCACAUGGGCCCCAAGAGACCUCCUCACUGGCAAGAGGAAGAAGCCACCUCCUCUCGGAAGAAUGAGCAGAGCUAGAGUACAGUGGCACAAUCACUGCUCACUGCAGUCUCGAACUCCCCGGCUCAAGCAAUCCUCCCACCUCAGCCUCCUGAGUAGCUGGGACUACAGUCGUGUGCCACCACACCUAGCUAAUUUUUUCUAUUUCUUGUAGAGGUGGAGUCUUCCUAUAUAGCUUAGGCUGGUCUCAAACUCCUGGACUUAAGCAAUCCUCCUGCCUCAGCCUUCCAAAGUGCUGGGAUUACAGACAUGAACCACCGUCCCCUGUAACCACUGUUUAAGAAAGUAAAAAGAUGCAGAAGAAGUUAAUCUAAUAUUUUGUUUAACCCACUAUACUCCAAAUAUCAUUCCUACAUGUAAUCAAGAUAAAAAAAUUAUUAAUGGCUGGGUGCCAUGGCUCACGCCUGUAAUCCCAGCAUUUUGAGAGGCCGAGGCAGGCAGAUCACCUAGGGUCAGGAGUUCAAGACCAGCCUGACCAACGUGGUGAAACCCUGUCUCUACUAAAAAUACAAAAAUUAGCCAGGCUUGGUGGCGUGUGCCUGUAGUCCCAGCUACUCAAAAGGCUGAGACAGGAGAAUUGAUUGAUCUUAGGAGGCAGAGUCUACAGUGAGCCAAGAUUGCACUGCUGCACUCUAGCCUGGGCAACAGAGCAACACUCUGUCUAAAAAAAUAAUAAUAAUAAAUAAAUAAUCAUUGAGAUAUCU